CCUAGGGCGGCUCCAGUGAGGAAUAUUGCACAAUGGGGGGAACCCUGAUGCAGCAACGCCGCGUGGAGGAUGACGCAUUUCGGUGUGUAAACUCCUUUUAUAUGUCAAGAAAAUGACGGUAGCAUAUGAAUAAGCACCGGCUAACUCCGUGCCAGCAGCCGCGGUAAUACGGAGGGUGCAAGCGUUACUCGGAAUCACUGGGCGUAAAGGACGCGUAGGCGGGUUGGAAAGUCAGGUGUGAAAUCCUACAGCUUAACUGUAGAACUGCACUUGAAACUUCUAAUCUAGAGUAUGGGAGGGGGAGAUGGAAUUAGUGGUGUAGGGGUAAAAUCCGUAGAUAUCACUAGGAAUACCUAAAGCGAAGGCGAUCUCCUGGAACAUUACUGACGCUAAGGCGUGAAAGCGUGGGGAGCAAACAGGAUUAGAUACCCCCGUAGUC
This 439-nucleotide ribosomal RNA is filed under the name uncultured bacterium. Its description in RNAcentral is "partial 16S ribosomal RNA". It matches the Rfam family "Bacterial small subunit ribosomal RNA", at positions 338 to 795 of the family's 1533-position model. The record is from RNAcentral.